AUACGGAAGGUCCGGGCGUUAUCCGGAUUUAUUGGGUUUAAAGGGAGCGCAGGCGGAGAUGCAAGCGUGACGUCAAAUUUCGGGGCUCAACCCCGUCUCGCGUCGCGAACUGCGUCCCUUGGUUGCGGGAAGGGGUGGCGGAACUCGUGGUGUAGCGGGGAAAUGCAUAGAGAUCACGAAGAAAUCCGAUCGCGAAGGCAGCCUUCCUGCAAGUGAAGCAGGGUCAUGAUAGAAGGGGCGGGUAUCAAACAGGAAUAGAUUCCCUGGUAGUCCGCACGGUAAACGAUGAUUACCCGCGGUCGGCGGUAGACAGUCGGCGGCCAAGCGAAAGCGAUAAGUAAUCCACCUGGGGAGUACGCCGGCAACGGUGAAACUCAAAGGAAUUGACGGGG
Molecule: ribosomal RNA, 392 nt
Filed under: uncultured bacterium
Lineage: Bacteria
Description: partial 16S ribosomal RNA
Rfam family: Bacterial small subunit ribosomal RNA
Source: RNAcentral